CACGUAGGGGGCGAGCGUUGUUCGGAAUUAUUGGGCGUAAAGGGUGCGCAGGCGGUUUUACAAGUCUGAUGUUAAAGGCCAGAGCUUAACUUUGGAAAUGCAUUGGAAACUGUAAGACUAGAGUAGCUGAGGGGAAGACGGAAUUCCUAGUGUAGGGGUGAAAUCUGUAGAUAUUAGGAAGAACACCGAUGGCGAAGGCAGUCUUCUGGCAGCAAACUGACGCUGAGGCACGAAAGUGCGGGGAUCAAACAGG
Molecule: ribosomal RNA, 253 nt
Filed under: uncultured bacterium
Lineage: Bacteria
Description: partial 16S ribosomal RNA
Rfam family: Bacterial small subunit ribosomal RNA
Source: RNAcentral